UAGUUGAAAUCAGUAAACCAUCGAAAUGAAGCAAGCAACGUUAGUGAUUUUAUUACUUGUUCUAGUAGCAGUGAACACUGUUACCUCCCAGGGUCCAAGUUCAACUUCAAUUGUCGCAAAUAACUCAGCGAAAAAAUUGAAAGUUAUCGACUCAUUGGUAAAGGUACAAAAACAUAAACUUCCCACUACAUCGUUGUUGGAUCAAAAACCAACAUAAAAUCUACAGAGCUCCAAAUGAUUUCUUCGAAAUAAUGCAGAACUAAUAAUACCUAUUCAAUAAAUGGUAUAAUUAUAAAAUAAUUGUAUGCA
Molecule: long non-coding RNA, 309 nt
Organism: Harmonia axyridis
Lineage: Eukaryota; Metazoa; Arthropoda; Insecta; Coleoptera; Coccinellidae
Exons: 3
Source: RefSeq, a predicted model, not a curated record